GUGCUAAGGUAGCAUAAUCAAUCGCCUUUUAAUUGAAGGAUAGAAUGAAUGAACAAACAAGAGACAGACUGUCUCUAUUUUAAACUUGAAAAUUAUUUUUUAGGUGAAAAAACCUAAAUUACCUAUAAAGACAGAAAGACCCUAUGAGCUUUUAUUAAAAAUUAAACAUCUUAUUAACCUUAUAUUUUGUUGGGGAGACAAAAAGCAAUUUACGUUUUCCUCAUACAGAUUCUUAAAUCCCAUAUAUUUAUCCAAAAGCACACAAACAAGUUACCUUAGGGAUAACAGGCCAAUACUUCUCAAGAGCCCGCAUCAACAGAAGU
RNAcentral lists this ribosomal RNA (323 nucleotides) under Syllis sp. GF-7820_24829. Its description in RNAcentral is "partial large subunit ribosomal RNA". It matches the Rfam family "Bacterial large subunit ribosomal RNA", at positions 1948 to 2515 of the family's 2925-position model. Lineage: Eukaryota; Metazoa; Annelida; Polychaeta; Phyllodocida; Syllidae. The record is from RNAcentral.